GAAAAAGCUAAUUUAGCCCCACAUAACCAGAAUAAUUCGCUCCAAAAAUGGCUAGUGAAAACAACAUCGUGAUCACUCAUAAUAGAUUUUGGUAGACCAUGUAAGCAAAAAAUGUGUGUAAAAAAUGCAUUUGCCAGACUUACAGCAGUAUAAGGAUGAGAAAGUGGAAUAAAAUCAGCAUACUUGGAAAAUCAAUCGAUAACCACCAACAUAACAUAUUUCUCGUGGACUUCAUAGGCACAUCAGACCAUAUUUGAGUAGGAAGUGCUAAUGGCUAUAAGAGACCCGUAGGAUGAAGAUUAGAAGUCUUGUUACGCUGGAAAACUCUACAAGACUGAACAAAAGUCUGAAUAGUAGUUUUAUCCCCUUCCAAUAGAAGUCACUUCGUACUCGUGGUAAUGUUUUUCAUACCCCCUCAUGUGUGCCAUUAUGAACAGCCGCAAUAGUAGUUUCUAACAAAGGUGA
RNAcentral lists this unclassified non-coding RNA (465 nucleotides) under Hevea brasiliensis (rubber tree). The record is from RNAcentral. Lineage: Eukaryota; Viridiplantae; Streptophyta; Magnoliopsida; Malpighiales; Euphorbiaceae.